This 449-nucleotide ribosomal RNA is filed under the name uncultured bacterium. Its description in RNAcentral is "bacterial SSU rRNA". It matches the Rfam family "Bacterial small subunit ribosomal RNA", at positions 355 to 796 of the family's 1533-position model. The record is from RNAcentral.
UGGGGAAUCUUGGACAAUGGGGGAAACCCUGAUCCAGCGAUACCGCGUGUGUGAAGAAGGCCUUCGGGUUGUAAAGCACUUUAGGUGGGGAAGAAAGGUGCGAGAGGAAUAUUCUCGUACUGUGACGGUACCCACAGAAUAAGCACCGGCUAACUCUGUGCCAGCAGCCGCGGUAAUACAGAGGGUGCAAGCGUUAAUCAGAAUGACUGGGCGUAAAGGGCGUGUAGGUGGUUGACUAGGUUUGAUGUGAAAUCCCCGGGCUUAACCUGGGAAUGGCGUCGAAAACGGGUUGACUAGAGUGAGAGAGAGGGUUGUGGAAUUUCCGGUGUAGCGGUGAAAUGCGUAGAUAUCGGAAAGAACAUCAGUGGCGAAGGCGACAACCUGGCUCUUAACUGACACUGAGGCGCGAAGGCGUGGGGAGCAAACAGGAUUAGAUACCCCGGUAGUCC